AAAUUGUAAGAUUAACCCGCUCAUGUUUUGUUAUAGAGAGUUCCGUUUCUGUCCCGUCAGAGGUAAUAUUGUUUCCGUUUUGUACACCGGUUCAUUGUCGAAGACCAAUAAAACUGCGAUCGUAUAAAAAAUGGAAUACUAGCUAUGGUACAUACGAAAUCCGUUGUUUUACGUGGUAUAUACGUUCGAGAUUGUGUGUCGACACUGGCAACGUCUGGAGUUCGGUUAUCCGAAAGUAUAUCGUGUACAGCUGUAUGGGUACUCCAUUC
Molecule: non-coding RNA, 269 nt
Organism: Cinara cedri
Lineage: Eukaryota; Metazoa; Arthropoda; Insecta; Hemiptera; Aphididae
Source: the annotation of a GenBank genome assembly